UACGGGAGGCAGCAGUGAGGAAUUUUCCGCAAUGCGCGAAAGCGUGACGGAGCAAUGCGACGUGGAGGAUGACGGCCUGUGGGUUGUAAACUCCUUUUCUCAGAGAAGAAGUUCUGACGGUAUCUGAGGAAUAAGCACCGGCUAACUCCGUGCCAGCAGCCGCGGUAA
Molecule: ribosomal RNA, 168 nt
Filed under: uncultured bacterium
Lineage: Bacteria
Description: partial 16S ribosomal RNA
Rfam family: Bacterial small subunit ribosomal RNA
Source: RNAcentral